RNAcentral lists this ribosomal RNA (400 nucleotides) under uncultured bacterium. Its description in RNAcentral is "bacterial SSU rRNA". It matches the Rfam family "Bacterial small subunit ribosomal RNA", at positions 359 to 776 of the family's 1533-position model. The record is from RNAcentral.
GAAUAUUGCCCAAUGGGGGAAACCCUGAGGCAGCAACGCCGCGUGAACGAAGAAGGCCUUCGGGUUGUAAAGUUCUUUUCUGAGGGAAGAUAAUGACGGUACCUCAGGAAUAAGCUCCGGCUAACUACGUGCCAGCAGCCGCGGUAAAACGUAGGGGGCGAGCGUUAUCCGGAUUUACUGGGCGUAAAGCGCACGUAGGCGGCUCGGAAAGUUAGACGUGAAAGCUCCCGGCUUAACUGGGAGAGGUCGUUUAAUACUACCGAGCUUGAGGUUGAAAGAGGAGAGCGGAAUUCCCGGUGUAGUGGUGGAAUGCGUAGAUAUCGGGAGGAACACCAGUGGCGAAAGCGGCUCUCUGGUUCAGACCUGACGCUGAGGUGCGAAAGCGUGGGGAGCGAACGGG